AACGCUAGCUACAGGCUUAACACAUGCAAGUCGAGGGGAAACGACAUCGAAAGCUUGCUUUUGAUGGGCGUCGACCGGCGCACGGGUGAGUAACGCGUAUCCAACCUGCCCACCACUUGGGGAUAACCUUGCGAAAGUAAGACUAAUACCCGAUGAUAUCUCUAGACGACAUCUGAAAGGGAUUAAAGAUUUAUCGGUGAUGGAUGGGGAUGCGUCUGAUUAGCUUGUUGGCGGGGUAACGGGCCACCAAGGCAACGAUCAGUAGGGGUUCUGAGAGGAAGGUCCCCCACAUUGGAACUGAGACACGGUCCAAACUCCUACGGGAGGCAGCAGUGAGGAAUAUUGGUCAAUGGGCGAGAGCCUGAACCAGCCAAGUAGCGUGCAGGACGACGGCCCUAUGGGUUGUAAACUGCUUUUAUAAGGGAAUAAAGUGAGUCUCGUGAGACUUUUUGCAUGUACCUUAUGAAUAAGGACCGGCUAAUUCCGUGCCAGCAGCCGCGGCAAUACGGAAGGUCCGGGCGUUAUCCGGAUUUAUUGGGUUUAAAGGGAGCGUAGGCCGGAGAUUAAGCGUGUUGUGAAAUGUCGCGGCUCAACCGUGGCACUGCAGCGCGAACUGGAUGACUUGAGUUCGCGGGAGGUAGGCGGAAUUCGUGGUGUAGCGGUGAAAUGCUUAGAUAUCACGAAGAACUCCGAUUG
Molecule: ribosomal RNA, 696 nt
Filed under: uncultured bacterium
Lineage: Bacteria
Description: bacterial SSU rRNA
Rfam family: Bacterial small subunit ribosomal RNA
Source: RNAcentral